This 71-nucleotide transfer RNA is filed under the name Arthrobacter citreus. RNAcentral describes it as "tRNA-Gly". It matches the Rfam family "tRNA". Rfam says of the family: Transfer RNA (tRNA) molecules are approximately 80 nucleotides in length. Their secondary structure includes four short double-helical elements and three loops (D, anti-codon, and T loops). The record is from RNAcentral. Lineage: Bacteria; Bacillati; Actinomycetota; Actinomycetes; Micrococcales; Micrococcaceae. RNAcentral also lists the same sequence under 10 other names.
GGGGAUGUAGCUCAAUGGUAGAGCCUCAGUUUUCCAAACUGAUCACGCGGGUUCGAUUCCCGUCAUCCCCU